GAUGAACGCUAGCGGCAGGCUUAACACAUGCAAGUCGAGGGGCAGCGCGGGGUAGCAAUACUCUGGCGGCGACCGGCGGAAGGGUGCGUAACGCGUGAGCAACAUGCCCGUAUCAGGGGGAUAACCGAUGGAAACGUCGCCUAAUACCCCAUAACAACAGGGAGGACAUCCUUCCUGCUUGAAAGCUUUGGCGGAUACGGAUUGGCUCGCGUGACAUUAGCUAGUUGGCGGGGUAACGGCCCACCAAGGCGACGAUGUCUAGGGGUUCUGAGAGGAAGGUCCCCCACACUGGAACUGAGACACGGUCCAGACUCCUACGGGAGGCAGCAGUGAGGAAUAUUGGUCAAUGGGCGGAAGCCUGAACCAGCCAUGCCGCGUGAAGGAAGAAGGCCCUGUGGGUCGUAAACAUCUUUUGUGCGGGAGCAAUAAGGACUACGAGUAGUCCGAUGAGAGUACCGUACGAAUAAGCAUCGGCUAACUCCGUGCCAGCAGCCGCGGUAAUACGGAGGAUGCAAGCGUUAUCCGGAUUUAUUGGGUUUAAAGGGUGCGUAGGCUGUUUAGCAAGUCAGUGGUGAAAUGCCGGGGCUUAACCCCGGAACUGCCAUUGAUACUGUUAGGCUUGAAUGCGGAUGCCGUGGGAGGAAUGAGUAGUGUAGCCGGUGAAAUGCAUAGAUAUUACUCAGAACACCGAUUGCGAAGGCAUCUCACGAAUCCGCUAUUGACGCUGAGGCACGAAAGCGUGGGGAUCAAACAGGAUUAGAUACCCUGGUAGUCCACGCAGUAAACGAUGAUAACUAACUGCCGGCGAUAGAGUGUCGGUGGCCAAGCGAAAGCGAUAAGUUAUCCACCUGGGGAGUACGACCGCAAGGUUGAAACUCAAAGGAAUUGACGGGGGCCCGCACAAGCGAAGGAACAUGUGGUUUAAUUCGAUGAUACGCGAGGAACCUUACCCGGGCUCGAACGGCAGACGAACGAUGCAGAGAUGCAAAGGUCCUUCGGGACGUCUGUCGAGGUGCUGCAUGGUUGUCGUCAGCUCGUGCCGUGAGGUGUCGGCUCAAGUGCCAUAACGAGCGCAACCCUUGUCGUCAGUUACCAGCAUGUAAAGAUGGGGACUCUGGCGAGACUGCCACCGCAAGGUGAGAGGAAGGGGGGGAUGACGUCAAAUCAGCACGGCCCCUACGUCCGGGGCGACACACGUGUUACAAUGGGGGUUACAGAGGGGAACUACCUGGCGACAGGAUGUAAAUCUCGAAAAGCCUCCUCAGUUCGGAUCGGAGUCUGCAACCCGACUCCGUGAAGCUGGAUUCGCUAGUAAUCGCGCAUCAGCCAUGGCGCGGUGAAUACGUUCCCGGGCCUUGUACACACCGCCCGUCAAGCCAUGAAAGCCGGGGGCGCCUGAAGUCCGUGACCGGAAGGAGCGGCCUAGGGUGAAACUGGUAAUUGGGGC
This 1447-nucleotide ribosomal RNA is filed under the name uncultured rumen bacterium. RNAcentral's name for it is "16S ribosomal RNA". It matches the Rfam family "Bacterial small subunit ribosomal RNA". The record is from RNAcentral.